Molecule: ribosomal RNA, 255 nt
Filed under: uncultured bacterium
Lineage: Bacteria
Description: partial 16S ribosomal RNA
Rfam family: Bacterial small subunit ribosomal RNA
Source: RNAcentral
CGUUUCUUUGCUGGCGACCGGCGCACGGGUGAGUAACACGUAUCCAACCUGCCCUUUACUCGGGGAUAGCCUUUCGAAAGAAAGCUUAAUGCCCGAUAGCAUAAUGAUUCCGCAUGGUUUCAUUAUUAAAGGAUUCCGGUAAAGGAUGGGGAUGCGUUCCAUUAGGUUGUUGGUGAGGUAACGGCCCACCAAGCCUUCGAUGGAUAGGGGUUCUGAGAGGAAGGUCCCCCACAUUGGAACUGAGACACGGUCCAA